Molecule: ribosomal RNA, 497 nt
Filed under: uncultured bacterium
Lineage: Bacteria
Description: partial 16S ribosomal RNA
Rfam family: Bacterial small subunit ribosomal RNA
Source: RNAcentral
GAUGAACGCUGGCGGCGUGCCUAAUACAUGCCAGUCGAGCGAACGGACGAGAAGCUUGCUUCUCUGAUGUUAGCGGCGGACGGGUGAGUAACACGUGGAUAACCUACCUAUAAGACUGGGAUAACUUCGGGAAACCGGAGCUAACACCGGAUAAUAUUUUGAAAGGCAUGGUUCAAAAGUGAAAGCGGGUUUUGCGGUCACUAAUAGAUGGUUCCGCGCUGCAUUAGUUAGUUGGUAAGGUAACGGCUUACCAAGGCAACGAUGCAUAGCCGACCUGAGAGGGUGAUCGGCCACACUGGAACUGAGACACGGUCCAGACUCCUACGGGAGGCAGCAGUAGGGAAUCUUCCGCAAUGGGCGAAAGCCUGACGGAGCAACGCCGCGUGAGUGAUGAAGGUCUUCGGAUCGUAAAACUCUGUUAUUAGGGAAGAACAUAUGUGUAAGUAACUGUGCACAUCUUGACGGUACCUAAUCAGAAAGCCACGGCUAACUACGUG